RNAcentral lists this non-coding RNA (23 nucleotides) under Cricetulus griseus (Chinese hamster). Lineage: Eukaryota; Metazoa; Chordata; Mammalia; Rodentia; Cricetidae. The record is from RNAcentral.
AACUCUACAGUCAGUACCUCAGG